UACGUAGGGUGCAAGCGUUAAUCGGAAUUACUGGGCGUAAAGCGUGCGCAGGCGGUUUUGUAAGUCUGUCGUGAAAGCCCCGGGCUCAACCUGGGAAUUGCGAUGGAGACUGCAAGGCUUGAAUCUGGCAGAGGGGGGUAGAAUUCCACGUGUAGCAGUGAAAUGCGUAGAGAUGAUGGAGGAACACCGAUGGCGAAGGCAGCCCCUGGGUCAAGAUUGACGCUCAUGCACGAAAGCGUGGGGAGCAAACAGGAUAGAAACCCCUG
RNAcentral lists this ribosomal RNA (266 nucleotides) under uncultured bacterium. RNAcentral's name for it is "partial 16S ribosomal RNA". It matches the Rfam family "Bacterial small subunit ribosomal RNA", at positions 524 to 789 of the family's 1533-position model. The record is from RNAcentral.